AUGUUUCUUCUGCAGUGUUGGGACUGUUUUAUUUCUUUAAAAUGUCAACGGUUUGGGGCUGCAGCAUUUGAAGAUGAAGCACUCUGGAUGAAAUGCAGACCGAGAGUUAGUGCGGACAAAGGGAAAAGAAAUCAUCCAGUACAACUACCGUCUUCCCUCUGUCUAGCAGUCAUUAUAGCCUCCGGAUGGAGACAGAGGCAAGGCCGGGGCUUCAGCAGCAGGGACCUGCACSCAGGGUGCCUGCUCCUACCGCGGGCCCAAUGUUGGGACAGGGGAUGUUUGGCUGUUGCUAUGUCCCAGCCGUAUUUUGCAGCGUGGGGACGGCUGGUGCCUGCCCGUGCCACGUUAACAGCCACGCGGAGAUGGGAACGGUGCAGCAGUGGGGCGUUUCUGGCCAUGCGGGCUCGCCAUGAGCUGGGCUGGCUCACCCUGUCCCCCGGCUGGGCCCCAACCUGGGGCCCAGUUUCUGUCCCAGUAUCUGGGUCCUUCUCGUGGGGUCCCUGCCUCCACUGCAGGGUCCUGGUCCUGGGAUGCUGGUCCYGGAGCCAGGCUCCCCGUACUCUGCCAGGCCAGAUCCUCGUCCCAGUCCUGGGGCAGGGCCCCUGUCUCCCCAUGGUGUUUCUGUCCUGGGUCGAAGGGCUGGGUCCGAGUCCCAGGUCCCAGGUCCUGGUCCCCAUCCUGGUCUGUGGUCCUCUCCUGGGCUUCAGGUCCUGCGUGCUGGGACCAGUCCCCAUCCUUGGGCUCAGUCCCCUGGGUCCAGGUCCCUGUCCUGGUCCAGGGUCCUGCCCCAGGCUCCUGUCUGGGUCUGGGUGGCUGGGUCAGGGUCCCAGUCCAUGUCCUGGGGGUACCAUCCUGGUCAGGGGUCCUGUCCAGGGUCCCAGUCCAGGAUCCYGUCCCAGUCUGUGUCCCGGAGCCCUGUCACAGGGCGCCAGUCCCUGUCCCAUUGGGGGAUCCCACCCCGGGGUGCCAGUCCCUGCCCCAAGGUCUUGGUCCCUGUUCCAGGGUGCCAUUCCCCACCCGGGGUGCUGGGUGGGGGUCCCGAUCCACGUCUUGGGAUCCCGCCGCAGGGCGCCGGGCCCUGUCCCGGUGGGGGCCCCAUCCCGGGGUGCUGGGCGGGGGCCCCGGUCCACGUCUCGGAGGCCCGGCGCAGGGUGCCGAUCCCUGUCCUGGCGUCCCGGCGGGGCCAAGAGCCGGUGCGGGGGGGGCGGCAGCCGGUGC
This 1218-nucleotide long non-coding RNA is filed under the name Apteryx haastii (Great spotted kiwi). RNAcentral's name for it is "lncRNA (ENSAHAG00000002725.1)". Lineage: Eukaryota; Metazoa; Chordata; Aves; Apterygiformes; Apterygidae. The record is from RNAcentral.